GACGAGGGAUCCUAGCGUUGUUCGGAAUUAUUGGGCGUAAAGCGGGUGUAGGUGGCUAUGUAAGUCAGAUGUGAAAGCCCAGGGCUUAACCCUGGAAGUGCAUUUGAUACUGCGUAGCUUGAGUGUGGGAGAGGAUAGUAGAAUUCCUGGUGUAGUGGUGAAAUACGUAGAUAUCAGGAGGAAUACCGGAGGCGAAGGCGGCUAUCUGGCCCAACACUGACACUCAGACCCGAAAGCGUGGGGAUCAAACAGG
Molecule: ribosomal RNA, 253 nt
Filed under: uncultured Bdellovibrio sp.
Lineage: Bacteria; Pseudomonadati; Bdellovibrionota; Bdellovibrionia; Bdellovibrionales; Pseudobdellovibrionaceae
Description: partial 16S ribosomal RNA
Rfam family: Bacterial small subunit ribosomal RNA
Source: RNAcentral